RNAcentral lists this ribosomal RNA (1154 nucleotides) under Apilactobacillus kunkeei. RNAcentral describes it as "bacterial SSU rRNA". It matches the Rfam family "Bacterial small subunit ribosomal RNA", at positions 58 to 1183 of the family's 1533-position model. The record is from RNAcentral. Lineage: Bacteria; Bacillati; Bacillota; Bacilli; Lactobacillales; Lactobacillaceae.
CUCUCCAAAUUGUUUUAUGCUUGCAUAAAUGAUUUUUGGAUUCGGAGCGAGUGGCGAACUGGUGAGUAACACGUGGGUAACCUGCCCCGAAGCGGGGGAUAACAUUUGGAAACAAGUGCUAAUACCGCAUAAUUAGUUGGAACCGCAUGGUUCCAACUUGAAAGAUGGCUCUGCUAUCACUUUGGGAUGGACCCGCGCCGUAUUAGUUAGUUGGUGAGAUAAAAGCCCACCAAGACGAUGAUACGUAGCCGACCUGAGAGGGUAAUCGGCCACAUUGGGACUGAGACACGGCCCAGACUCCUACGGGAGGCAGCAGUAGGGAAUCUUCCACAAUGGACGAAAGUCUGAUGGAGCAACGCCGCGUGAGUGAUGAAGGUUUUCGGAUCGUAAAACUCUGUUGUUAAAGAAGAACAAGUGUUAGAGUAACUGUUAACACUUUGACGGUAUUUAACCAGAAAGCCACGGCUAACUACGUGCCAGCAGCCGCGGUAAUACGUAGGUGGCAAGCGUUGUCCGGAUUUAUUGGGCGUAAAGCGAGCGCAGGCGGUUUUGUAAGUCUGCUGUGAAAGCCCUCAGCUCAACUGAGGAAGUGCAGUGGAAACUACAAAACUUGAGUACAGAAGAGGAAAGUGGAACUCCAUGUGUAGCGGUGAAAUGCGUAGAUAUAUGGAAGAACACCAGUGGCGAAGGCGGCUUUCUGGUCUGUUACUGACGCUGAGGCUCGAAAGCAUGGGUAGCGAACAGGAUUAGAUACCCUGGUAGUCCAUGCCGUAAACGAUGAAUACUAGGUGUUGGAGGGUUUCCGCCCUUCAGUGCCGCAGCUAACGCAUUAAGUAUUCCGCCUGGGGAGUACGACCGCAAGGGUUGAAACUCAAAGGAAUUGACGGGGGCCCGCACAAGUGGUGGAGCAUGUGGUUUAAUUUCGAUGCUACGCGAAGAACCUUACCAGCUCUUGACAUCUUCUGCUAACCCAAGAGAUUGGGCGUUUCCCUUUCGGGGACAGAAUGACAGGGGGUGCAUGGGUUGUCGUCAGCUCGUGUCGUGAAAUGUUGGGUUUAAGUCCCGCACGAGCGCAACCCUUAUUUUUUAGUUGCCAGCANUUUAUUGGCCCCUUUAAGGAAACUGGCGGGGAUAAACGGGGAAGGGGGGACAAC